This is a non-coding RNA of Triticum aestivum (bread wheat), 155 nucleotides long. The record is from Rfam. NCBI's taxonomy places the organism in Eukaryota, Viridiplantae, Streptophyta, Magnoliopsida, Poales, Poaceae.
CAACUACUCCCUCUGUCCCAAAUUUGUUGUCUUAGAUUUGUCUAGAUACGGAUGUAUUUGUCUAGAUACGUAUGUAUCUAAUACUAAAAUGUGACUUGAUACAUCCGUAUCUAGACAAAUCUAAGACAAGAAUUUUGGGACGGAGGGAGUACUUU